RNAcentral lists this transfer RNA (77 nucleotides) under Bifidobacteriaceae bacterium. RNAcentral's name for it is "tRNA-Leu". It matches the Rfam family "tRNA". From Rfam's summary of the family: Transfer RNA (tRNA) molecules are approximately 80 nucleotides in length. Their secondary structure includes four short double-helical elements and three loops (D, anti-codon, and T loops). The record is from RNAcentral. Lineage: Bacteria; Bacillati; Actinomycetota; Actinomycetes; Bifidobacteriales; Bifidobacteriaceae.
GCCCCCAUAGCCCAAUUGGCAGAGGCAACCGGCUUAAAACCGGUCUGUUGCGAGUUCGAGUCUCGCUGGGGGCACCA